CCUACGGGUGGCAGCAGUGGGGAAUAUUGUACAAUGGGGGGAACCCUGAUCCAGCCAUGCCGCGUGUGUGAAGAAGGCCCUCGGGUUGUAAAGCACUUUCAGUGAGGAAGAACGCCUGGUGGUUAAUACCCAUCAGGAAAGACAUCACUCACAGAAGAAGCACCGGCUAACUCCGUGCCAGCAGCCGCGGUAAUACGGAGGGUGCGAGCGUUAAUCGGAAUUACUGGGCGUAAAGCGCGCGUAGGUGGCUUGAUAAGCCGGUUGUGAAAGCCCCGGGCUCAACCUGGGAACGGCAUCCGGAACUGUCAAGCUAGAGUGCAGGAGAGGAAGGUAGAAUUCCCGGUGUAGCGGUGAAAUGCGUAGAGAUCGGGAGGAAUACCAGUGGCGAAGGCGGCCUUCUGGACUGACACUGACACUGAGGUGCGAAAGCGUGGGUAGCAAACAGGAUUAGAUACCCCGGUAGUC
This 465-nucleotide ribosomal RNA is filed under the name Vreelandella stevensii. Its description in RNAcentral is "partial 16S ribosomal RNA". It matches the Rfam family "Bacterial small subunit ribosomal RNA", at positions 338 to 795 of the family's 1533-position model. Lineage: Bacteria; Pseudomonadati; Pseudomonadota; Gammaproteobacteria; Oceanospirillales; Halomonadaceae. The record is from RNAcentral.